Molecule: ribosomal RNA, 465 nt
Filed under: uncultured bacterium
Lineage: Bacteria
Description: partial 16S ribosomal RNA
Source: RNAcentral
CACGAAGUUAGCCGCGACUUCUUUUGCGGGUACCGUCAUCGUCGUCCCCGCCGAAAGAGCUUUACAAUCCGAAGACCUUCAUCACUCACGCGGUAUGGCUGCGUCAGGGUUGCCCCCAUUGCGCAAGAUUCCCCACUGCUGCCUCCCGUAGGAGUCUGGACCGUGUCUCAGUUCCAGUGUGGCUGGUCAUCCUCUCAGACCAGCUACUGAUCGUCGCCUUGGUGAGCCAUUACCUCACCAACUAGCUAAUCAGCCAUGGACUCAUCCUAAAGCGCUGCAACGCUUUCCCAAUAUGGAUUAUGCGGUAUUAGCGUUCACUUCUGAACGUUAUCCCCACCUUCUACGGUAGGAUUUCCUACUGUAUUACUCACCCGUUCCGUCCGCUCGACUAUUACGCCUCGCUCGACUUGCAUGUGUUAAGACCUACCGCCAACUAGUUCGUCUCUGAGCCAGGAUCAAACUACU